CCCGCUGAACUUAAGCAUAUCAAUAAGCGGAGGAAAAGAAACCAACAGGGAUUGCCUUAGUAACGGCGAGUGAAGCGGCAACAGCUCAAAUUUGAAAUCUGGCUCUUUCAGGGUCCGAGUUGUAAUUUGCAGAAGAUGCUUUGGGUGUGGCUCCGGUCUAAGUUCCUUGGAACAGGACGUCAUAGAGGGUGAGAAUCCCGUACGUGACUGGGGUGCCUUCGCUCGUGUAAAGCUCUUUCGACGAGUCGAGUUGUUUGGGAAUGCAGCUCAAAAUGGGUGGUAAAUUCCAUCUAAAGCUAAAUAUUGGCGAGAGACCGAUAGCGAACAAGUACCGUGAGGGAAAGAUGAAAAGCACUUUGGAAAGAGAGUUAAACAGUACGUGAAAUUGUUGAAAGGGAAACGUUUGAAGUCAGUCGCGUCGGCCGAGACUCAACCUUGCUCUUCGCUCGGUGCACUUCUCGGUCGACGGGUCAGCAUCAAUUUCGACCGCCGGACAAAGGUCAGGGGAAUGUGGCAUCCUUCGGGAUGUGUUAUAGCCCUUGAUUCGCAUACGGCGAUUGGGAUUGAGGAACUCGGCGCUUCACGCGUCCAGGAUGCUGGCAUAAUGGCUUUAAGCGACCCGUCUUGAAACACGG
This 635-nucleotide ribosomal RNA is filed under the name uncultured fungus. Its description in RNAcentral is "eukaryotic LSU rRNA". It matches the Rfam family "Eukaryotic large subunit ribosomal RNA", at positions 24 to 664 of the family's 3401-position model. The record is from RNAcentral. Lineage: Eukaryota; Fungi.